This 645-nucleotide long non-coding RNA is filed under the name Heterocephalus glaber (naked mole-rat). RNAcentral's name for it is "lncRNA (ENSHGLG00100048572.1)". The record is from RNAcentral. Lineage: Eukaryota; Metazoa; Chordata; Mammalia; Rodentia; Bathyergidae.
CGGGGAUCAAACUCAGGUCCUUGCGCUUGCAAGGCAGGUGACAGAACCUCUGAGCUAAAUCCCCGGCCCCAUCAUCCCCCUCCUUUUGAGACAGGGUCUCACUGUAUAGUUCAGGCUGGCCUUGAACUCAUUAUGGAGCCCUGGCUGCCUCGAACUCAUGGCAAUCCUCUUGCCUCAGCCUCCUGAGUACAGCCUCCCAGAGUGCUGGGAUGACAGGUGAGCCCCACCACCUGGCUAAUUCACGACUUCUUGCUGAGGCCCACCUGCCUUCCCCACCUGCACACCCUGGGGCCCAGCUCCCCGUUUUCCCAGCCAGGGGACUUGGACCCACUUCACGGAGCAUGGGAACCUCUGGUCUACAGCAGAACUCCUGUGAAACCGUAGGUUUGCUGUGUGGUCUACACCGCUGGCUGUGAGUCCAACAUCCAUGCUCCCCUCUGGCUUUACUAAUAAAACCUAAUUCUGUUCAGAACAGAACAGUGGCACCGGUCUACACUCUGUUUUCUUGCUUCCUCUGCAAGCAGGGGCCGCCCCCCAACACAGCUCUGGCCAGUAAGACAUUAGCGGGUGUCAACAGGUAGGGAUAGGGAGGCAGAAGUCAGCACUUUGCCUGUGCUCUUUCCCUUCUCUCUGCCUGGAACACAG